UACGAAGGGGGCUAGCGUUGCUCGGAAUCACUGGGCGUAAAGCGCACGUAGGCGGGUUCUUAAGUCAGGGGUGAAAUCCUGGAGCUCAACUCCAGAACUGCCUUUGAUACUGAGGAUCUUGAGUACGGGAGAGGUGAGUGGAACUGCGAGUGUAGAGGUGAAAUUCGUAGAUAUUCGCAAGAACACCAGUGGCGAAGGCGGCUCACUGGCCCGUAACUGACGCUGAGGCACGAAAGCGUGGGGAGCAAACAGG
RNAcentral lists this ribosomal RNA (253 nucleotides) under uncultured bacterium. RNAcentral describes it as "partial 16S ribosomal RNA". It matches the Rfam family "Bacterial small subunit ribosomal RNA", at positions 524 to 776 of the family's 1533-position model. The record is from RNAcentral.